RNAcentral lists this ribosomal RNA (483 nucleotides) under uncultured bacterium. Its description in RNAcentral is "partial 16S ribosomal RNA". It matches the Rfam family "Bacterial small subunit ribosomal RNA", at positions 30 to 506 of the family's 1533-position model. The record is from RNAcentral.
AUUGAACGCUGGCGGCAGGCCUAACACAUGCAAGUCGAGCGGAUGAAGGGAGCUUGCUCCUGGAUUCAGCGGCGGACGGGUGAGUAAUGCCUAGGAAUCUGCCUGGUAGUGGGGGAUAACGUCCGGAAACGGGCGCUAAUACCGCAUACGUCCUGAGGGAGAAAGUGGGGGAUCUUCGGACCUCACGCUAUCAGAUGAGCCUAGGUCGGAUUAGCUAGUUGGUGGGGUAAAGGCCUACCAAGGCGACGAUCCGUAACUGGUCUGAGAGGAUGAUCAGUCACACUGGAACUGAGACACGGUCCAGACUCCUACGGGAGGCAGCAGUGGGGAAUAUUGGACAGUGGGCGAAAGCCUGAUCCAGCCAUGCCGCGUGUGUGAAGAAGGUCUUCGGAUUGUAAAGCACUUUAAGUUGGGAGGAAGGGCAGUAAGUUAAUACCUUGCUGUUUUGACGUUACCGACAGAAUAAGCACCGGCUAACUUCGU